RNAcentral lists this ribosomal RNA (477 nucleotides) under uncultured bacterium. RNAcentral describes it as "partial 16S ribosomal RNA". It matches the Rfam family "Bacterial small subunit ribosomal RNA", at positions 30 to 507 of the family's 1533-position model. The record is from RNAcentral.
AUUGAACGCUGGCGGCAUGCCUUACACAUGCAAGUCGAACGGUAACAGGUUAAGCUGACGAGUGGCGCACGGGCGAGUAAUACAUCGGAACGUGCUCAGUAGCGUGGGAUAGCCCGGCGAAAGCCGGCUUAAUACCGCAUACGAUCCCAGGGUGAAUGUGGGGGAUCGCAAGACCUCUCGCUAUUGGAGCGUCCGAUGUCCGAUUAGCUAGUUGGUGGGGUAAAGGCUUACCAAGGCGACGAUCUGUAGCUGGUCUGAGAGGACGAUCAGCCACACUGGAACUGAGACACGGCCCAGACUCCUACGGAAGGCAGCAGUAGGGAAUUUUGGGCAAUGGGCGCAAGCCUGAUCCAGCCAUGCCGCGUGCGGGAAGAAGGCCUUCGGGUUGUAAACCGCUUUUGUCAGGGAAGAAAUACUUUGGAUUAAUACAUCGGGGGGAUGACGGUACCUAAAGAGUAAGCACCGGCUAACUACGUG